Molecule: ribosomal RNA, 492 nt
Filed under: uncultured bacterium
Lineage: Bacteria
Description: partial 16S ribosomal RNA
Rfam family: Bacterial small subunit ribosomal RNA
Source: RNAcentral
AGUGAACGCUGGCGGUAGGCCUAACACAUGCAAGUCGAACGGCAGCACAGUAAGAGCUUGCUCUUACGGGUGGCGAGUGGCGGACGGGUGAGGAAUACAUCGGAAUCUACUUUUUCGUGGGGGAUAACGUAGGGAAACUUACGCUAAUACCGCAUACGACCUACGGGUGAAAGCAGGGGAUCUUCGGACCUUGCGCGAUUGAAUGAGCCGAUGUCGGAUUAGCUAGUUGGCGGGGUAAAGGCCCACCAAGGCGACGAUCCGUAGCUGGUCUGAGAGGAUGAUCAGCCACACGGGAACUGAGACACGGUCAAGACUCCUAAGGGAGGCCGCAGUGGGGAAUAGUGGACAAUGGGCGCAAGCCUGAUCCAGCCAUAGCGCGUGGGUGAAGAAGGCCUUCGGGUUGGAAAGCCCUUUUGUUGGGAAAGAAAAGCAGCAGGUUAAUACCCAGCUGUUCUGACGGUACCCAAAGAAUAAGCACCGGCUAACUUCGUG